Molecule: ribosomal RNA, 111 nt
Filed under: Mus pahari (shrew mouse)
Lineage: Eukaryota; Metazoa; Chordata; Mammalia; Rodentia; Muridae
Description: rRNA (MGP_PahariEiJ_G0032583.1)
Source: RNAcentral
UCUAUAUCUAUACCACUCUUGUCUCAUCUAGGAAGCUAAGCAGGGUUGGGCCUGGUUAGUACCUGGAUGGGAGAAUCUACCUUGCCCUGGAAACCUAUGAGGAACUGGGGG